AAGGGGCUAGUUUAAAAAGAACAUUUGAUUUCGGCUCAGACAGACCCAGUUUAACCCCGGGGCCCUUAA
Molecule: transfer RNA, 69 nt
Filed under: Echinocardium cordatum (sea potato)
Lineage: Eukaryota; Metazoa; Echinodermata; Echinoidea; Spatangoida; Loveniidae
Description: transfer RNA-Arg
Rfam family: tRNA
About the family: Transfer RNA (tRNA) molecules are approximately 80 nucleotides in length. Their secondary structure includes four short double-helical elements and three loops (D, anti-codon, and T loops).
Source: RNAcentral